Hermetia illucens (black soldier fly) is the source of this 247-nucleotide long non-coding RNA. RefSeq lists it as uncharacterized. The transcript is spliced from 2 exons. Lineage: Eukaryota; Metazoa; Arthropoda; Insecta; Diptera; Stratiomyidae. The record is from RefSeq and is a predicted model, not a curated record.
ACAACUCUCUGUGCAUAAAGGUGUUAAUUCUUCGAACAAAGGCGAUGGUUCCCGAUAAAUUAAUUGUAUUUUUUCUUCUAAUUAUUGUAACAAUCUAUACCGCAGAUGAAGCUAGUGGAGACGGUUGAUAAUAUCAGAAAUUUUGCAGCAAGUUGACCCAUGUGUAGAUGUUUUAUUAACAGCGAAUGAUAGAAAGAAAAAUAUGAACUGAAUAAACGCAUUCCUGAAUGAAAUUACUAAUCUUAAA